CACCAUUUAUUGUCUCGUCUUUCUUGUGCUCAAUUAUUAACACAAAUAUCUUGGAAUCACUCUUCAUCACAAAAUCAACUAGAACUAUAACAUUGAGAAAAGGAUAAAAGGAAGGUGGAAAGCUUAUUAUGGA
Molecule: non-coding RNA, 133 nt
Organism: Picea glauca (white spruce)
Lineage: Eukaryota; Viridiplantae; Streptophyta; Pinopsida; Pinales; Pinaceae
Source: Rfam